AUGUUCAGUGUGUAUUUACAAAAAAUAUCACAUACUAAAAAGUUCACUUGUAGCUGCAAUCCGGUCGUAGUUGUAUACUUCUGUAUUUCUUUUCGAACCCUCCACAGACUGUUCGGUAAGAUGAAAGAUGUUGAGAUCACCCAAUCUCAAGAUCAAAAACCCCGGCUGCGAGUCGCCCCUCUGACCUUGCACGCCGCUCCUGGUCGGCCAUGGCUCCUAAUUCUGGCUUUCCUCCUUACGUGGAGGAGCCAUGCACUGCUAAUGUAUAAUCUCUUGUUUUUGAUAAUUUCGCAUAAUGUGUGGGACUUGAUAAAGCUUGGAGAUUAUCUUAGUGCAAGGGAUGAUGUCGAUCCCUCUAGGAUAGGGAUUAUUGGUGAAUCACUCGGAGUAAAGCAAUGCUCUUUGUGGUGGCUACAGGGAUUUCAAUGGGCAAUAGAUAAUGACAUGUGGCAAGCUAGAGUUGAUAGCAUUAAGCAUUUAUUUGAAGAAGCAAGAAUUGAUUCAGGGAAGAGUGAAAUAGAUGCAGAGGUUGUGAAAAAGGUUUGGGACAAGAUAGCACCUGCUACGGCUUCACAGUUUGAUGCUCCCUACUCAGUUCCUCUGAUUGCACCACGUCCACUCCUCCUCCUAAAUGGUGCGGACGACCCUCGUUGCCCUGUCCUUGGUCUACAAGAACUUGCCUCCAAAGCUGUCGAGGCUUAUGCAGAAGCUGGUUCUGCGGAUAAGUUCAAGACGAGUGUUGCCACGGGAAAACAUGUGGCGACUUCCCACAUGGCUGUUGCAAUAGCACAAUUUAUUGCCACAGUUGCUUUUUUGUGGCAAUAA
RNAcentral lists this ribosomal RNA (825 nucleotides) under Triticum aestivum (bread wheat). RNAcentral describes it as "partial small subunit ribosomal RNA". The record is from RNAcentral. Lineage: Eukaryota; Viridiplantae; Streptophyta; Magnoliopsida; Poales; Poaceae.